This 484-nucleotide ribosomal RNA is filed under the name uncultured bacterium. RNAcentral's name for it is "partial 16S ribosomal RNA". It matches the Rfam family "Bacterial small subunit ribosomal RNA", at positions 29 to 523 of the family's 1533-position model. The record is from RNAcentral.
AGUGAACGCUGGCGGCGUGCUUAACACAUGCAAGUCGAACGAGAACGGGUUAUAGCUUGCUAUAAUUGUCAGCUAAGUGGCGCACGGGUGAGUAAUGUAUAGGUAAUAUGCCUCUUACUAAGGGAUAACAAAUGGAAACGUUUGCUAAUACCUUAUACUUCUUAUUAACAGAAGUUAAUAAGGGAAAGAUUUAUUGGUAAGAGAUUAGCCUGUAUUGUAUCAGUUAGUUGGUGAGGUAAUGGCUUACCAAGACUAUGACACAUAACUGGUUUGAGAGGAUGAUCAGUCACACUGGAACUGAGACACGGUCCAGACUCCUACGGGAGGCAGCAGUGGGGAAUAUUGCACAAUGGACGAAAGUCUGAUGCAGCAACGCCGCGUGGAGGAUGACACAUUUCGGUGCGUAAACUCCUUUUAUAUGAGAAGAUAAUGACGGUAUUAUAUGAAUAAGCACCGGCUAACUCCGUGCCAGCCGCCGCCGUAA